This 442-nucleotide ribosomal RNA is filed under the name uncultured bacterium. RNAcentral's name for it is "SSU rRNA". It matches the Rfam family "Bacterial small subunit ribosomal RNA", at positions 26 to 518 of the family's 1533-position model. The record is from RNAcentral.
AGAGCGAACGCUGGCGGCAGGCCUAACACAUGCAAGUCGAGCGCCCCGCAAGGGGAGCGGCAGACGGGAGAGUAACACGUGGGAACGUACCCUUUGGUUCGGAACAACACAGGGAAACUUGUGCUAAUACCGGAUAAGCCCUUACGGGGAAAGAUUUAUCGCCAAAGGAUCGGCCCGCGUCUGAUUAGCUUGUUGGUGAGGUAACGGCUCACCAAGGCUACGAUCAGUAGCUGGUCUGAGGGGAUGAUCAGCCUCACUGGGACUGAGACACGGCCCAGACUCCUACGGGAGGCAGCAGUGGGGAAUAUUGGACAAUGGGCGCAAGCCUGAUCCAGCCAUGCCGCGUGGAUGAUGAAGGCCCUAGGGUUGUAAAGUCCUUUCGACGGGGAAGAUAAUGACGGUACCGUAGAAGAAGCCCGGCUAACUUCGUGCCAGCAGCCGC